CAGCGCAGCUCGGUGCAACACCGCUGCAUGGGGUCUUGAGGAGACAGUUCGACUACAGAGAGGGAUGGCGAGAGAAAAAACACGCCAUUCAGACCAGCAUCCUCCCACACAACCUCAUACACAGACACGUCUCUUGUCUUUCCAGUGGCCGGGGGUUGGAAAAUGUGCUGUUAUUGGGGCCUGCCUGGAUGCCGUAGUAAUGGGAUGAGGCUAUCGAUUCAUCCCAUGUCGGGCCUGACUCUUUUUUUCAGCCUGGGAACGACAGCUGAUGUCACUGUGACAUUGAAAUGUCGGAGGCAUUAUCUCUAAUAACAAGAGGGGAGAUGCGAACUGACAAGGCACAGCAGAACAGAACCUCUGAGGGGUCCCUGGGAGCCAUUCCAAAUUGACUGCAUAGUGUAGGGCCACGUCAACCUGCAAAGGGCUGGUAUACUAUAGGUACUGUUUGACCCACACCACAGCACGUGUUCUAGCCAACCCAAUCAUCCCCCUCUGGGGAGUGCCAAAUCACUGUGAGUCAGACUGUGAGGACCACUUCACCGG
Molecule: long non-coding RNA, 543 nt
Organism: Esox lucius (northern pike)
Lineage: Eukaryota; Metazoa; Chordata; Actinopteri; Esociformes; Esocidae
Source: Ensembl